AGCAGCCGCGGUAAUUCCAGCUCCAAUAGCGUAUAUUAAAGUUGUUGCAGUUAAAAAGCUCGUAGUUGAACUUCAGGCCUGCCCAGACGGUCCGCCUUAAUUGGUGUGUACUGUCCUUGGGUGGGUCCUACCUUCUGGCGAAGCGGCAUGGCCUUAAUUGGUUGUGUCGGGGAACCAGGACUUUUACUGUGAAAAAAUUGAGUGUUCAAAGCAGGCAAAUAUGCUCGAAUACAUUAGCAUGGAAUAAUGGAAUAGGACGAUGGUUCUAUUUUGUUGGUUCUAGGACCGUUGUAAUGAUUAAUAGGGAUAGUUGGGGGCAUUAGUAUUCAAUUGUCAGAGGUGAAAUUCUUGGAUUUAUUGAAGACUAACUACUGCGAAAGCAUUUGCCAAGGAUGUUUUCAUUAAUCAAGAACGAAAGUUAGGGGAUCGAAGACGAUCAGAUACCGUCGUAGUCUUAACCAUAAACUAUAGCCGACUAGG
This 480-nucleotide unclassified non-coding RNA is filed under the name uncultured Glomus. RNAcentral describes it as "bacterial SSU rRNA". It matches the Rfam family "Eukaryotic small subunit ribosomal RNA", at positions 569 to 1050 of the family's 1831-position model. The record is from RNAcentral. Lineage: Eukaryota; Fungi; Glomeromycota; Glomeromycetes; Glomerales; Glomeraceae.